AGUAUGUUCAUUCAAGACAAUGACCUGCUCACUCUCAUUCCUGAGUAAUAGCCAUGAAGCGGAUAAGUGUUUUCCAGGUCACACGAAACCGAACGAGAUGCUGGAAGGAUCUUCUGCUUUGGACAAGGACAUACAAGAAUAAGGAGUCUGCAGGACAAUGUAUGAUGUCACAACUGAUGUCACAUUUGACCUGAAAAGGGGUCCCUUCAUAUAUCACGUGGAGCCUUAAAGGUCCGUGAAGAACCUUCAGCAUCUGGCUCCUAAUGCUGUCAAAUAAGGCAGUAAUGGACAAAAUGUUCAACACAAACACAGCUAGAGCUAAGCAGCAGCCGUGCAGUCUGGCAGAAUUUAUAUUCUUCAAUUGAAGACACAGAAUGAAGUUACA
Pipra filicauda (Wire-tailed manakin) is the source of this 385-nucleotide long non-coding RNA. RefSeq lists it as uncharacterized. The transcript is spliced from 3 exons. The record is from RefSeq and is a predicted model, not a curated record. Lineage: Eukaryota; Metazoa; Chordata; Aves; Passeriformes; Pipridae.